UUGCUUUGGCAGCACAUAUACUAAAAUUGGAACAAUACAGAGACGAUUAGCAUGGCCCAAAGAUGACAGGCAAAAUUUUUAUGUGAAAGUGAUAUAA
RNAcentral lists this small nuclear RNA (97 nucleotides) under Suricata suricatta (meerkat). Lineage: Eukaryota; Metazoa; Chordata; Mammalia; Carnivora; Herpestidae. The record is from RNAcentral.